This 489-nucleotide ribosomal RNA is filed under the name uncultured bacterium. RNAcentral describes it as "partial 16S ribosomal RNA". It matches the Rfam family "Bacterial small subunit ribosomal RNA", at positions 30 to 507 of the family's 1533-position model. The record is from RNAcentral.
AUUGAACGCUGGCGGCAGGCCUAACACAUGCAAGUCGAACGGUAACAGGAAACAGCUUGCUGUUUCGCUGACGAGUGGCGGACGGGUGAGUAAUGUCUGGGAAACUGCCUGAUGGAGGGGGAUAACUACUGGAAACGGUAGCUAAUACCGCAUAACGUCGCAAGACCAAGAGGGGGACCUUCGGGCCUCUUGCCAUCGGAUGUGCCCAGAUGGGAUUAGCUAGUAGGUGGGGUAACGGCUCACCUAGGCGACGAUCCCUAGCUGGUCUGAGAGGAUGACCAGCCACACUGGAACUGAGACACGGUCCAGACUCCUACGGGAGGCAGCAGUGGGGAAUAUUGCACAAUGGGCGCAAGCCUGAUGCAGCCAUGCCGCGUGUAUGAAGAAGGCCUUCGGGUUGUAAAGUACUUUCAGCGGGGAUGAAGGGAGUAAAGUUAAUACCUUUGCUCAUUGACGUUACCCGCAGAAGAAGCACCGGCUAACUCCGUG